UAAUUGUGCCACCUUGUUCCUUGAGGU
This 27-nucleotide non-coding RNA is filed under the name Homo sapiens (human). The record is from RNAcentral. Lineage: Eukaryota; Metazoa; Chordata; Mammalia; Primates; Hominidae.